Molecule: ribosomal RNA, 330 nt
Filed under: uncultured bacterium
Lineage: Bacteria
Description: bacterial SSU rRNA
Rfam family: Bacterial small subunit ribosomal RNA
Source: RNAcentral
UGCGUAGGCGGUUAACUAAGUCACGUGUGAAAUCUUCUGGCUCAACCAGAAAACUGCGCGUGAUACUGGAUGACUUGAGUGAGGUAGGGGUGUGUGGAACUUCCGGUGGAGCGGUGAAAUGUGUAGAGAUCGGAAGGAACGCCAGCAGCGAAAGCGACACACUGGGCCUUGUCUGACGCUGAGGCACGAAAGCUAGGGUAGUGAACGGGAUUAGAUACCCCGGUAAUCCUAGCCGUAAACACUGAACACUGGAGGAUGGGGGCUUCGGCCUUCAUUCUCGUAGCGAAAGCGUUAAGUGUUCCGCCUGGGGAGUAUGGUCGCAAGGCUGAA